Molecule: long non-coding RNA, 1122 nt
Filed under: Bos indicus x Bos taurus (hybrid cattle)
Lineage: Eukaryota; Metazoa; Chordata; Mammalia; Artiodactyla; Bovidae
Description: lncRNA (ENSBIXG00000024274.1)
Source: RNAcentral
AGUUGAAUAGUUGUCUCAGCUACAAAUAGCUGAGAAAAGAAGAGGAGCUAAAGGUAAAGGAGAAAAGGAAAGAUAUUCCCAUCUAAAUGCAGAGUUCCAAAGAACAGCAAGGAAAGACACGAAAGCCUUCCUCAGUGAUCAAGGCAAACAAAUAGAGGGAAACAGGAGAAUGGAAAAGACUGGAGAUCUCUUCAACAGACUUGGAGAUACCGAGGGAACACGUCAUGCAAAGAUGAGCACAAUAAAGGACAGAAACAGUAUGGACCUAACAGAAGCAGAAGAUAUUAAGAAGAAGUGGCAAGAAUACACAGAAGAACUAAACAAAAAAGAUCUUCACAACCCAGAUAACCAUGGUGGUGUGACCACUCACAUAGAGCCAGAUAUCCUGGAGUGUGAAGUCAAGUGGGCCUUAGGAAGCAUCACAAUGAACAAAGCUAGUGGAGGUGAUAGAAUUCCAGUUGAGCUAUUUCAAAUCCUAAAAGAUAAUACUGUGAAAGUGCUGUACCCAAAAUGCCAACAAAUUUGGAAAACUCAGCAGUGGCCACAGGACUGGAAAAGGUCAGGUUUCAUUCCAAUCCCCAAGAAAGGCAAUGCCAAAGAAUGUUCAAACUACCUCACAAUUGCACUCAUCUCACGUGCUAGCAAAGUAAUGCUCAAAAUUCUCCAAGUGAGGCUCCAACAGUAUGUGAGCCAAAAACUUCCAGAUGUUCAGGAUGGAUUCAGAACAGGCAGAGGAACCAGAGAUCAAAUUGCCAACAUCCACUGGAUCAUAGAAAAAGCAACAGAAUUCCAGAAAAACAUCUACUUCUGCUUUAUUGACUAUGCCAAAACCUUGACUGUGUGGAUCAAAACAAACUGGAAAAUUCUUGAAGAGAUGGGAAUACCAGACCACCUGACCUGCCUCCUGAGACAUCUGUAUGCAAAUCAAGAAUCAACAAUUAGAACUGGACAUGGAACAACACAUUGGUUCCAAACUGGGAAAGUAGAACGUCAAGGCUGUAUAUUUUAAUGAAAGGCUUGUAAAAAAAAAAAAAAAAACAUUUUUUUUUCCUCCCCCAAAUAUAACAGACUGGUUCCAAAUUGGGAAAGCAGUAUGUUAAGGCUGUACACUGUCACCCUGCU